AGCUUUUUGGAUCCGUACAGAGAUUUCGUCAGACACCAACCCCAAUAAAGCUGAUCAGACUUCCAAGAUAAGUGAAGUU
Non-coding RNA from Schistosoma rodhaini, 79 nucleotides. The record is from Rfam. NCBI's taxonomy places the organism in Eukaryota, Metazoa, Platyhelminthes, Trematoda, Strigeidida, Schistosomatidae.